This 620-nucleotide ribosomal RNA is filed under the name uncultured bacterium. RNAcentral's name for it is "bacterial SSU rRNA". It matches the Rfam family "Bacterial small subunit ribosomal RNA", at positions 338 to 956 of the family's 1533-position model. The record is from RNAcentral.
CCUACGGGAGGCAGCAGUGGGGAAUUUUGGACAAUGGGCGCAAGCCUGAUCCAGCAAUGCCGCGUGCAGGAUGAAGGCCUUCGGGUUGUAAACUGCUUUUGUACGGAACGAAACGGCUCUUUCUAAUAAAGAGAGCUAAUGACGGUACCGUAAGAAUAAGCACCGGCUAACUACGUGCCAGCAGCCGCGGUAAUACGUAGGGUGCGAGCGUUAAUCGGAAUUACUGGGCGUAAAGCGUGCGCAGGCGGUUAUAUAAGACAGAUGUGAAAUCCCCGGGCUCAACCUGGGACCUGCAUUUGUGACUGUAUAGCUAGAGUACGGUAGAGGGGGAUGGAAUUCCGCGUGUAGCAGUGAAAUGCGUAGAUAUGCGGAGGAACACCGAUGGCGAAGGCAAUCCCCUGGACCUGUACUGACGCUCAUGCACGAAAGCGUGGGGAGCAAACAGGAUUAGAUACCCUGGUAGUCCACGCCCUAAACGAUGUCAACUGGUUGUUGGGUCUUCACUGACUCAGUAACGAAGCUAACGCGUGAAGUUGGCCGCCUGGGGAGUACGGCCGCAAGGUUGAAACUUAGAAAGUAGUAGCGUGNGAGAGCGACGACGACGACGACGGAGGAGGAGG